CGCUGGCGGCAUGCCUUACACAUGCAAGUCGAACGGCAGCACGGAGCUUGCUCUGGUGGCGAGUGGCGAACGGGUGAGUAAUAUAUCGGAACGUACCCAGGAGUGGGGGAUAACGUAGCGAAAGUUACGCUAAUACCGCAUACGUCCCAAGGGAGAAAGUGGGGGAUCGCAAGACCUCAUGCUCAUGGAGCGGCCGAUAUCUGAUUAGCUAGUUGGUGGGGUAAAGGCCUACCAAGGCAUCGAUCAGUAGCUGGUCUGAGAGGACGACCAGCCACACUGGAACUGAGACACGGUCCAGACUCCUACGGGAGGCAGCAGUGGGGAAUUUUGGACAAUGGGGGCAACCCUGAUCCAGCAAUGCCGCGUGAGUGAAGAAGGCCUUCGGGUUGUAAAGCUCUUUUGUCAGGGAAGAAAAGGGAUUGGCUAAUAUCUAGUCCUCAUGACGGUACCUGAAGAAUAAGCACCGGCU
RNAcentral lists this ribosomal RNA (469 nucleotides) under uncultured bacterium. Its description in RNAcentral is "bacterial SSU rRNA". It matches the Rfam family "Bacterial small subunit ribosomal RNA", at positions 34 to 498 of the family's 1533-position model. The record is from RNAcentral.